RNAcentral lists this ribosomal RNA (556 nucleotides) under uncultured bacterium. Its description in RNAcentral is "partial 16S ribosomal RNA". It matches the Rfam family "Bacterial small subunit ribosomal RNA", at positions 355 to 900 of the family's 1533-position model. The record is from RNAcentral.
UAGGGAAUCUUCCACAAUGGACGCAAGUCUGAUGGGAGCAACGCCGCGUGAGUGAAGAAAGGUUUUCGGACCGUAAAGCUCUGUUGUUGGUGAAGAAGGAUAGGGGUAGUAACUGGCCUUUAUUUGACGGUAAUCAACCAGAAAGUCACGGCUAACUACGUGCCAGCAGCCGCGGUAAUACGUAGGUGGCAAGCGUUGUCCGGAUUUAUUGGGCGUAAAGCGAGCGCAGGCGGAAGAAUAAGUCUGAUGUGAAAGCCCUCGGCUUAACCGAGGAAUUGCAUCGGAAACUGUUUUCUUGAGUGCAGAAGAGGAGAGUAGAACUCCAUGUGUAGCGGUGGAAUGCGUAGAUAUAUGGAAGAAUACCAGUGGCGAAGGCGGCUCUCUGGUCUGCAACUGACGCUGAGGCUCGAAAGCAUGGGUAGCGAACAGGAUUAGAUACCCUGGUAGUCCAUGCCGUAAACGAUGAGUGCUAAGUGUUGGGAGGCUUCCGCCUCUCAGUGCUGCAGCUAACGCAUUAAGCACUCCGCCUGGGGGAGUACGACCGCAAGGUUGAAAC